AUGAACGCUAGCGAUAGGCUUAACACAUGCAAGUCGAGGGGCAUCGAGGGUAGCAAUACCUGUCGGCGACCGGCGCACGGGUGAGUAACGCGUAUGUAACCUGCCCGCAACAGAGGGAUAACCCGGCGAAAGUCGGACUAAUACCUCAUAAAACAGGGGUUCCGCAUGGGGCUAUUUGUUAAAGAUUUAUUGGUUGCGGAUGGGCAUGCGUACCAUUAGGUAGUUGGUGAGGUAACGGCUCACCAAGCCAUCGAUGGUUAGGGGUUCUGAGAGGAAGGUCCCCCACACUGGUACUGAGACACGGACCAGACUCCUACGGGAGGCAGCAGUGAGGAAUAUUGGUCAAUGGGCGAGAGCCUGAACCAGCCAAGUCGCGUGAAGGAUGACUGCCCUAUGGGUUGUAAACUUCUUUUACAGGGGAAUAAAAUGAGAUACGUGUAUUUUAUUGCAUGUACCUGGAAUAGC
RNAcentral lists this ribosomal RNA (465 nucleotides) under Tannerella forsythia. Its description in RNAcentral is "bacterial SSU rRNA". It matches the Rfam family "Bacterial small subunit ribosomal RNA", at positions 29 to 491 of the family's 1533-position model. Lineage: Bacteria; Pseudomonadati; Bacteroidota; Bacteroidia; Bacteroidales; Tannerellaceae. The record is from RNAcentral.